RNAcentral lists this ribosomal RNA (309 nucleotides) under uncultured bacterium. RNAcentral describes it as "bacterial SSU rRNA". It matches the Rfam family "Bacterial small subunit ribosomal RNA", at positions 28 to 334 of the family's 1533-position model. The record is from RNAcentral.
GAUGAACGCUGGCGGCGUGCCUAACACAUGCAAGUCGAACGGACGAAGGGAGCUUGCUCCCUGAGUUAGUGGCGAACGGGUGAGUAACGCGUGAGUAACCUGCCUUUCACUGGGGGAUAACGCAUCGAAAGAUGUGCUAAUACCGCGUAAGACCACAGCAUCGCAUGGUGCAGGGGUCAAAGGAGCAAUCCGGUGGAAGAUGGGCUCGCGUCCGAUUAGCUAGUUGGUGAGAUAACAGCCCACCAAGGCGACGAUCGGUAGCCGAGCUGAGAGGCUCAACGGCCACAUUGGGACUGAGAUACGGCCCAG